CCUACGGGGGGCAGCAGUGGGGAAUAUUGGACAAUGGGCGCAAGCCUGAUCCAGCCAUGCCGCGUGUGUGAAGAAGGCCUUCGGGUUGUAAAGCACUUUUGUCCGGAAAGAAAUCCAAUCGAUUAAUACUCGGUUGGGAUGACGGUACCGGAAGAAUAAGCACCGGCUAACUUCGUGCCAGCAGCCGCGGUAAUACGAAGGGUGCAAGCGUUACUCGGAAUUACUGGGCGUAAAGCGUGCGUAGGUGGUUCGUUAAGUCUGAUGUGAAAGCCCUGGGCUCAACCUGGGAAUGGCAUUGGAUACUGGCGACCUAGAGUGCGGUAGAGGGGUGUGGAAUUCCCGGUGUAGCAGUGAAAUGCGUAGAUAUCGGGAGGAACAUCUGUGGCGAAGGCGACACCCUGGACCAGCACUGACACUGAGGCACGAAAGCGUGGGGAGC
Molecule: ribosomal RNA, 439 nt
Filed under: uncultured Lysobacter sp.
Lineage: Bacteria; Pseudomonadati; Pseudomonadota; Gammaproteobacteria; Lysobacterales; Lysobacteraceae
Description: bacterial SSU rRNA
Rfam family: Bacterial small subunit ribosomal RNA
Source: RNAcentral